RNA transcript from Schistocerca americana (American grasshopper), 3343 nucleotides. It is a transcript of the gene named zinc finger X-chromosomal protein-like, with no coding region annotated. The record is from RefSeq and is a predicted model, not a curated record. The transcript has 2 exons. Lineage: Eukaryota; Metazoa; Arthropoda; Insecta; Orthoptera; Acrididae.
ACUGGUCAGUUAUUGAAAAUAUGUUACAAAAUGUUGAUCUAUAUUAAAAAGGGGUGCUGUAAUUAUGUGGUAGCCUGUUGUUAGCACAGACGCACUUUCACUAAUGCAAUUGUUUAAAACAAGUUACUCCACUUCGUGUGCAGCAUCUGUUCUCUAUUCAUGAAAUCUGUGGUUCAUCAGGUCUGUUUCACCUGUAAUUUAUUGCUCUCCAUGAAGCAUCAUCAGUGAAGCAGGUACAGAGAUAAAGCAGUAGCAUCACUUCCAGUGCUGCUGGAUGUGUGUGGAAAUAUCCCCUACUGGUCCCCUGAUAUAAAGGACCUAACAUUGGUAUGAAUUAAGUAAUAAAGUGGAUAUUCCACAUAUUAAGUAUUUUCUAAUACCUGGCUUCAAAUUGUGUUCAGGUCAAACACGGAAAAAAUAUUUUAUUUGUGGUUCUGACAUCUGUAAGUAGGAAAAUCUUGCUAAAAUGUAUUAGGACUGUUUAUUUUCUGAAGGGUCUUAUUUAGUAAAGAAUGCCAUAAUUGUUAGUAUAAUUAAGCUACAUUGAUAUUUAGUAUUGCAGGUUUAAUCAGGUAAAUGUUUUGUAUGUGGACAGUCUCCUGUAAGGACGUAAAUACAGCACUUGGAUUUUUAACAGUUAAAUUAGUAAGAAGUUAAUCAUGAAAUUUAACAAUGUUUGUGCUGUGAAUGUUAUCAGUAAAUAAUAAAAAAAUCAACUAAUUGGUUUAUACAUUCAGUAAGCAUUAUGUGGAAAACAACUUCCUUCGUUAGGUGAAAAGGUGAUUACUUAAUGUAUGAGCUGAAAAUCUGCAUAUGCUUCCAGAAGAGUACGUAAAUUUGUCUCUCUCUCUCUCUCUCUCUCUCUCUCUCUCUCUCUCUCUCUCUCACACACACACACACACUGUCGUCAGAAAAUGUAACUUUUGGUUGUAAACUCUGUGUAGAUAAAUUAAGAUACGCUCAUUUACCAUACUUACAUUUUUUGUAGUUGCUACAACAAUAUACAGUCUCAUAUAACAUUGGUGGAUAUGUGAGUACUGAUGUUUUGUAAUUUAUUAUCUCUGUCUUUUUUUUUUUUUUUCAUUAAGCAUUAUCAAAACUGUGUGUUUCAAUUUCUAUCUCUACUGUAUCUAAGACUAACAAGUAAUUAUCAUUUUAUUCAGCAUAGGAGAAUCUCAUUAUUGUUUUCGUUAUUACAUGUUACUAUUUUUUUCUUAAAUUGAUACAUUUCAUUUACAGUUUUCAUUGUUUAAAAUUUUUGUUAUGUUGAAUGUACAGGGUUUCAUAGGUUGCUUAAUACAUUUUAAAUUCAUUUGUUGAUGGUUAUGUUGGACUUAGUAACCAUUUUCAGGUGCUAUGCAUGAAAUGGAAAAACUAAAUACUUCAUUUACCAUUGGGUUGAAAUCUUUUGUUUUUGAGAGAGGCGACAUUUUUGGAGGUUAGUGUUUACAUUUUCCACAGUCAUCUGACAAGUGGGCAAUCAACAUUUAUCACAAGUUAAUAACUUGAAUGCAACAUAUUGAUGUUCCACAAUAAUAUUUACUAGUUCAUUAUGAACUGGCUUUCGGCUUCUUUUUCCAUCAUCAGAUAACUUAGUGUUGCACAGACAGUCUACACAGCUUCAGUGAGAACUCAUCGCUGUACAAAGAAUGCUGUACAAUCUACUUGUUCAUUGUCAUUAAAAUAUCGUGAACAGAAGAUAAAAUAAUGGCUUGGAGACAGACAACUAUUCGCAUCACAAAGGAAGUCCAGGCAAGUAGAUACCAUACAUCAUUUGGAACAACUACCAUUCCGUUCUACAGAAUUAAACAUUUUGAAGUCUCGUCAAGCUUUUCUCCAUUUCCAGUGUUGUCAGUGUGGAAAUUGGUAUCAGCAUAAAGGUUCUCUCAGUCGACAUCUUAGAUUAGAAUGUGGAAAAGAACCAUUAUUCAGUUGUUCCUUAUGUUCGUACAAAUCAAAACAGAAACAUGAUGUGAAGAGACACUUUCUUAAAAAACAUAUGAAACAUUAAAAUUGUGGUAUCCUCUGCCAUUUCUUGUAUUGCUGCAAUAUUUUGAUACAGGUGUUCUGGAAAAGUGAUUGUAAUUGGAAAGAAUGUGUAAGAUCUUUUUGCUUGUGCAGUUGUAUCUUAAAAAACGACGACUUCUUAAGAAAUUAUGGUUAUGAUGUGCACUUUCAUAACUUGUAACAUAAUCAUUAAAUGAAGUCUGCAUAAUUUUUUCACAUACACAGUUGAACAAUUUGGUGGCGGAGGGGAUUCAUAAUGGAGGAUGAACUACCAGAUGUCAGAUAAAUUUUGUGUCCUCCUUUCACUCUUUUUGUGCUUUUCAGAAUCUGAUUUUUUGUUAUUUUUUGCUUCACCAAAUAAAAAUAGAGUUACUGUACAUUAACCGUAUACCCUUGCAUACAGGACCUCUUUGAAAAUAUUUUUCCGCACAAGAAACUUAUCAUUUGUCCCCCUUCCCCCCCACUUGUUUCUCCCUCAUACACUUUCAGCUAAGUCAGUUUUCACUACUAAUUGUGAUUCAACCUGUACACAAAUCUUGCUCUUGGUCGAUGCCCCAAACGGCCACUAGUAAUUGUAAUACAAACUGUAUAGAAAUCUUUCAGUUGCAAUUCCUCUAGCACCCAUCUCCGCUUGGCGCCCCCAAGCAUCCCAAACAAUGGUUGGUGUCAAUUGGGUCUUAAACCGGCUGUGCCUCCAUAGAUUGAUUGUUUUAAAAAAUUAAUACUUUAUUUUCCUGAAUGAGGUCACUUAAUUCUACCUUGUGAUCAUAAUUCUGAUAUUGUUGAAGUGACAAACAGUUCACAGCAGAUUUUAUAUUCGCGAGAAAUGGUAUUCUGUAGUCAUGAAAUCAUCUAAAUUUUUUACGGUUGUUCUAGUGAUGUGAACAUGUUCAAGAACUAUAAAGACUAUUUCACACCUAUGAAGACUAAUCCAAAUGCUAUUAAAAUUUCACGGUAUAAAGUUGAGCAGUGCACUUGUGAUGGGAAAUACAUUUUUAAGGUAAGAAAUGGUCAACAAACAACUGUUUUCUCUGUGCUUUUACCCUUGAAAGAAAUAUAUACUGCAAGAGCAAGAAAAAUAGUGCAUCUCGGAUUUCGGGAGGAAUUACUGUAUACUGUACUAUGCUUUUACUUGUCAAGUAAGCUAAAUAUGAAGAUAUGAUGAAGUAUAUUGCGAUAGGAGACACAGAUUUCUAUGAAAAACAACAUCUCAGAAAAUGAAGUUAGUUCAGGAAAAUCAGAGUAAAACAGUAAGUUAAAGCAAUGAGAUGAAACCACUUAUAACUUUAAUUUAUGGUAAUUUGUAUCUUUAUAACAUUUGACUGUUAUAUAUCUU